This 72-nucleotide transfer RNA is filed under the name Lawsonibacter asaccharolyticus. RNAcentral's name for it is "tRNA-Gln". It matches the Rfam family "tRNA". From Rfam's summary of the family: Transfer RNA (tRNA) molecules are approximately 80 nucleotides in length. Lineage: Bacteria; Bacillati; Bacillota; Clostridia; Eubacteriales; Oscillospiraceae. The record is from RNAcentral.
AGGGGUGUAGCCAAGUGGUAAGGCCUCGGGUUUUGGCCCCGAUAUUCGCUGGUUCGAGUCCAGCCAUCCCCG